RNAcentral lists this ribosomal RNA (422 nucleotides) under uncultured bacterium. RNAcentral describes it as "partial 16S ribosomal RNA". It matches the Rfam family "Bacterial small subunit ribosomal RNA", at positions 360 to 774 of the family's 1533-position model. The record is from RNAcentral.
AAUCUUCCGCAAUGGACGAGAGUCUGACGGAGCAACGCGGCGCGAGAGAUGAAGGUUUNUUGAGCNUNAAACUCUGUUGCUAGGGNGGAACAAGUAUCGGAGUCACUGCCGGUACCUUGACGGUACCUGACGAGAACACCACGGCUAACUACGAUCCAGCAGCCGCGGUAAUACGUAGGUGGCAAGCGUUGUCCGGAUUUAUUGGGCGUAAAGCGCGCGCAGGCGGUCUUUUAAGUCUGAUGUGAAAGCUUACAGCUUAACAGUAAACGGUCAUUGGAAACUGGGGGGCUUGAGUGCAGAAGAGGAGAGUGGAAUUCCAUGUGUAGAGGUGAAAUGCGUAGAGAUAUGGAGGAACACCAGUGGCGAAGGCGACUCUCUGGUCUGUAACUGACGCUGAGGCGCGAAAGCGUGGGGAUCAAACA